CUAUCAUCAUCAUCAUCUUUACAAAUCAAAAUCUUCAGACCUGCACAAUUCGUAACUCUAGAUAUAACAACAUAUAUCUGUCCAUGACUAAAGAUUGAUUUUCUUAAGAAUAAUCCCACAUGAGACAAAGAUUGACCUUGACUUUUGUUGAUGGUCAUUGCAUACGACACAGCCAAAGAAAAUUGUCUUCGCUGAAAUUUGAAUGACAAUCUUAGAUCAAACGAAAUCAAAGACAUUUGAGGAAUCAAAACUUUAUGCCCAAUAUUAUGGCCACCCAACACUUCGAACCGAUACACCUACAUUAGCUACACAAAAAAACUUUGAAAUGGGAAUAAUUCAACCAAAUCACACACUAAUUAAAAAAACUAAAUGAUAUAUUUCUCAAUUUAUUUUUAAUUAAUAUACACAUUUUAAAUAAAAACAUUGCAUGCAAAAAAUAAGGCAACUAAUAGAUGUAAGACUACAACCCAAAUAAUGUGUUCCAAACAGUCCAAAUAAGAAUAUAUUAAAAUGUCAAACAAAAUACCCCAAAUAGAUUAAAAGAUUGCCCAAUUGUUAAAUUAAAAAGAUCCAAAAAAAAAUUUUUUGACCUAAAACGUUUUAGCUACAAUUAAUACCACUACAUUAGGAUAUUGUAUAAAAGAUUAAAUUAACUAAUACUAAUGACCCUAAUCGUAUUCUGGUUAGAGAUACAAAAAAAAUACCCCCUCUCUCUCCAAUCGGAUACCCAAAAGACUACCCAAACCCGUCACCGCCGUCCCUCGACAACCACAACGCCGCCUCCUGCCAAUCUAAAAUGCUGCAACACACAUCUGCCUAAAGCACUAUCAGAUUUGCCCUAUUCCGCUAUUAGAAGAGACUUCGAAAAGUCAAAAAUCGAGAAAAGAUCAGAGAGCAGCGCGACGGAAACGAUGGAGCUUCCGGUGAAAUCACGAAACAAUCAACGGCAAUCAAGACGAAAAGGAAUGAGGCAACAAAACUAAGGGACCAGACACCGCUUGAAGGCGGUUGAACAUCGACGGGAGAGAAAAUCAACUACGGUCGUAAACAGCCGAAGGAAAUUCAAACAGUAACAGCUCAAAAUAAAAGAGAGAAUAAGAGACAGAAGCAUCCAAAGAUAUUCAGAAAAUAAGCAGAUGAGUACCUGAACUUGAAUGUUUUAAUUGCUGAGAUGACAUACUCUUAAGUAUUAAAGAUUUUUUCAAUUCUUCAUUCA
Long non-coding RNA from Salvia splendens (bonfire salvia), 1216 nucleotides. RefSeq lists it as uncharacterized. The transcript has 3 exons. NCBI's taxonomy places the organism in Eukaryota, Viridiplantae, Streptophyta, Magnoliopsida, Lamiales, Lamiaceae. The record is from RefSeq and is a predicted model, not a curated record.